AGUGAACGCUGGCGGCAGGCCUAACACAUGCAAGUCGAACGGCAGCACAGAGGAGCUUGCUCCUUGGGUGGCGAGUGGCGGACGGGUGAGGAAUACAUCGGAAUCUGCCUAUUUGUGGGGGAUAACGUAGGGAAACUUACGCUAAUACCGCAUACGACCUACGGGUGAAAGCGGAGGACCUUCGGGCUUCGCGCAGAUAGAUGAGCCGAUGUCGGAUUAGCUAGUUGGCGGGGUAAAGGCCCACCAAGGCGACGAUCCGUAGCUGGUCUGAGAGGAUGAUCAGCCACACUGAACUGAGACACGGUCCAGACUCCUACGGGAGGCAGCAGUGGGGAAUAUUGGACAAUGGGCGCAAGCCUGAUCCAGCCAUGCCGCGUGGGUGAAGAAGGCCUUCGGGUUGUAAAGCCCUUUUGUUGGGAAAGAAAAGCAGUCGGUUAAUACCCGAUUGUUCUGACGGUACCCAAAGAAUAAGCACCGGCUAACUUCGUGCCAGCCGCCGCAGUAA
RNAcentral lists this ribosomal RNA (505 nucleotides) under uncultured bacterium. RNAcentral's name for it is "partial 16S ribosomal RNA". It matches the Rfam family "Bacterial small subunit ribosomal RNA", at positions 29 to 523 of the family's 1533-position model. The record is from RNAcentral.